UAGCAGUUGGUAGUUUCCAGCCACAGAUUCGAAUUGGCCAGGGUCAAAAUCUGUCAUUAGAGAUAAAACCUUGAAGUGAAGGCAGUUUUGAUGUUUGAAAUAUUUGUUGAUGUCUGCAUCUCGUAAGAUAUCGGAAGCCGUCUGACUUGGCCACAUCGCUCGGAAGUCUGAAGUACUAGAAAAAACCGCCAUCUGCUACCUUAAGACAUUUGUCAAUUUUUGUCUGCAUCUCGUAAGAUAUCGGAAGCCGUCUGACUUGGCCACAUCGCUCGGAAGUCUGAAG
This is a long non-coding RNA of Mercenaria mercenaria, 283 nucleotides long. RefSeq lists it as uncharacterized. The record is from RefSeq and is a predicted model, not a curated record. Lineage: Eukaryota; Metazoa; Mollusca; Bivalvia; Venerida; Veneridae. The transcript has 3 exons.